Molecule: ribosomal RNA, 615 nt
Filed under: uncultured Legionella sp.
Lineage: Bacteria; Pseudomonadati; Pseudomonadota; Gammaproteobacteria; Legionellales; Legionellaceae
Description: bacterial SSU rRNA
Rfam family: Bacterial small subunit ribosomal RNA
Source: RNAcentral
UAGCUAGUUGGUAGGGUAAAGGCCUACCAAGGCGACGAUCGGUAGCUGGUCUGAGAGGAUGACCAGCCACACUGGAACUGAGACACGGUCCAGACUCCUACGGGAGGCAGCAGUGGGGAAUAUUGGACAAUGGGGGGAACCCUGAUCCAGCAAUGCCGCGUGUGUGAAGAAGGCCUGAGGGUUGUAAAGCACUUUCAGUGGGGAGGAGGGUUGAUGGGUUAAGAGCUGAUUGACUGGACGUUACCCACAGAAGAAGCACCGGCUAACUCCGUGCCAGCAGCCGCGGUAAUACGGAGGGUGCGAGCGUUAAUCGGAAUUACUGGGCGUAAAGGGUGCGUAGGUGGUUAAUUAAGUUAUCUGUGAAUCCCUGGGCUUAACCUGGGCAGGUCAGAUAAAACUGAAUGACUCGAGUAUGGGAGAGGGUAGUGGAAUUUCCGGUGUAGCGGUGAAAUGCGUAGAGAUCGGAAGGAACACCAGUGGCGAAGGCGGCUACCUGGCCUAAUACUGACACUGAGGCACGAAAGCGUGGGGAGCAAACAGGAUUAGAUACCCUGGUAGUCCACGCUGUAAACGAUGUCAACUAGCUGUUGGUUAUAUGAAUAUAAUUAGUGGCGC